Molecule: long non-coding RNA, 2110 nt
Organism: Triticum aestivum (bread wheat)
Lineage: Eukaryota; Viridiplantae; Streptophyta; Magnoliopsida; Poales; Poaceae
Exons: 6
Source: RefSeq, a predicted model, not a curated record
UCUCUCUCUCUCUCUCUCUCUCGCUAACCCCACCCAACCCGUCGUGCCCUCCUCUCUCUCUCUCGAACUGAACCCUAGCGCUCCACCCCUCACUGCCUGCCGCCACCUCCGGCGACCUCAGGCGGGAAUCGACGACCGGCGAGAUCCGUGCGCGCGCAGCGAGAUCCAUCUCUCUCUCACACGAGAGGGAAAAUCCCCACGACUCCUCCUCCUCCUCCUCUCUGGAUCGAUCCCCUCCAACCCACCUCUUCCCCCUCUCUGGAUCGAUCCCCUCCAACCCAGCCGCCGUCGCCGCAGACCUCCCCCAACCCCGGCCUCCUCCACAGCCGGCGACCCCUUCUCUUCCUCCCCCAACCCAGCCACCUCCAGCAGCAGAUCCAUGCAGGACAGAUCUGAGCUCCACUACCUCCGUUGCUCCCUUUCCCCCGACCAGAUCUUCCUCUUGCGUUCCGGCACCUCGCCGGCGUGGCUCCGGCGUUGCUCCGGCGACUCAGAUCCAACACGCCGUCGUUGCUCGAGCACCGGGACGCUAUCGAUGGGAAGUCUUCCUCCUCACCUCAUCUUGUCUCCCUCACAUGAGCGAUGCAGCUUCACCGCUACCCUGACGCCAUCAAGGAGCAGCUGCACGCCUGCAAGGCUGCAACAUCACCAACUCGACUUGGAUGCAGGGAGAGGAGACGCCCAACCAUGGGCAAGCUCUACGUCGGCAUCUGCCUUUGUAGCUUGGCCUAGGGUUAGCUGAAUGCUCAAGACAUGGGUAGUUCUGGGAGAUGGUGAUUAGGGACUGUUUUACAACACAUCAUCCUCUGUUUUUACACGUAGUUGUAGAAGAAAAUACUUUUACUUAUUGCAAGUCACGACUGUCAUGCGUAUGUUAUGAAUUCAGAAACUAUAACAUGUUUUUUUUGCCAUGGUGAAGGAGUAAACUGAACAAUUAAGUUGCUAGUUCAGUAUGUGAGUUGCAUCAUACUGUACAUGAAUGCUAGCUGAAUAUCAGUUCUGUAUGUUACUUGGUGCAUAAAUUUUACUUAUUUGCAAGUCGUAGCUGCCGUGCACCCGUUAUGAAUUCAGAAACUAUAACAUCAAUUCGUCAGCAGCUUUUUCUCAGUGGAGUUGCUAAUUUGGCGCUGGAAAGCUUGCUUUGCACAUAUCCCAUUGUACAUAAUUAAUACUGGAUUAGUUACUUGCUUUUGUACACAUGCCAGCGGGAUGUUCUCUAGUUUCUCUAAAUCCAGUGAUUCAAAACUUCAAUGUAGUCAUUUUACAAUGCACCAUGGUUUCUUGUUUCUGUUGUGAAAGUAAUGUCAAUGGUGUUGCACAGUUUUGAAUAAAAAUGCAAAUGGCUUGUGAAUGUCAAUGAACUUACAAUGUCAGUCUCUUAGAGUUGUUUUUGCAACCUAAUAUUGUUGUAAAAUCCUUUCCUUGAGCUGCGGUUGAUGUGGUGGUCUGCUGUUGUGGAUGAUGCAUGCAGGGGCUGCUGGAGAACACGGAGAAGGACAGGGUCCGGAGGCUGAUAGGCUCAAGCCUCCCGUGGAGCCAUGAUUUUCCCAGUUGAUGGAUCUUUCCUGUGCACGCUGGCAUCCAGGUCGGCAACGCGUGCUGGGAACUUUACUGCCUCGAGCACGGCAUCCAGCCUGAUGGCCAGACGAACGGUGACAAGACCAUCCGGUGAUUCGCUGCUUGCAAACAACAGCUAGUAAAUCGGUCACCGUGGGGGCGGGGACAUGAGAUUCAGAGAAGAGAUGCUGCUGCCUGCCUAUACUAGUUCAUAUCAGGCUCGUCCCUGGACCAGAUGUUCAAGUACAGCCCCAUCCACCACAUCGACCUGGAGUCAGAUGCUGGGCUUUCAUGUUUCUUCGUGAGCAUCAGUACAAAGAAGUCGGAGGAAGAAUAGUUCUAGCUCAUUUGAGCUAGUUCUAAGAGUAAUGGAGUCCUUUAUGCUGCUCCUAUUUGUAUGUGUGUUAUAUGAUGUAGCAGAAUCUGGCUCGUGUGAUUGUACACUUGUGGAGCUUGUAAUUAUCUGAUUGUAAACUUGAUGCUGAUCACAUUUGUAUGUGUGUUAUAUGAUGUAGCACUUCGAUGGUUGAUAACAUUUGAAGUAUUUCAUGUA